This 73-nucleotide transfer RNA is filed under the name Cordylochernes scorpioides. RNAcentral describes it as "tRNA-Thr". Lineage: Eukaryota; Metazoa; Arthropoda; Arachnida; Pseudoscorpiones; Chernetidae. The record is from RNAcentral.
UGUCAAGGGAUGGAAUCGAACCCACGACCUUCCGCAUACCGGGCAGAUGCAUGACCACUAGGCUACCCUGGAC